RNAcentral lists this long non-coding RNA (323 nucleotides) under Daucus carota (carrot). Its description in RNAcentral is "long non-coding RNA (DCAR_LNC003683)". The record is from RNAcentral. Lineage: Eukaryota; Viridiplantae; Streptophyta; Magnoliopsida; Apiales; Apiaceae.
AGCCGAUCGUGUAAUACUUUUGAAAGAUUCAGUAAUCUAAUCAAUCGAAUUUCAACGUAAUUUUGUAAUCUUGAUUUUUUUGACAACAAUAACUUUUAAUAUUAGAGUUAGAAAGGGUUAUGUAAUGGUUAUAUUGAAAUAGAACACGUUAAAGUUAAAAAGAUUUGCCUCCUGGAUCAGAGCCUGUCGCGCUUAGGUGCGGUUUACCUUGGUUCACGUAGUUUGUAGGCUAUUGCGUGAGCUCGUGGGUUUACCCAGUGCGCACCCGAAGGGUAGCGGCUGCGGGUUCCUACUUUAAAAAAAAAAAAAAGUUAAAAAGAUUU